AGAGUUUGAUCCUGGCUCAGGAUGAACGCUGGCGGCGUGCCUAACACAUGCAAGUCGAGCGAGAAAUUAAUUAAUGAAUCUUCGGAAGAAUUAAUUAAUGGAAAGCGGCGGACGGGUGAGUAACGCGUGGGCAACCUGCCUUUCACAGAGGGAUAGCCAAAGGAAACUUUGAUUAAAACCUCAUAAAGCUGGAAUAGUGCAUAAUAUACCAGCCAAAGAUUUAUCGGUGAAAGAUGGGCCCGCGUGGCCACAUUGGAACUGAGACACGGUCCAAACUCCUACGGGAGGCAGCAGUGGGGAAUAUUGCACAAUGGGCGAAAGCCUGAUGCAGCAACGCCGCGUGAACGAAGAAGGCCUUCGGGUCGUAAAGUUCUGUCCAAAGGGAAGAAAAGAAUGACGGUACCUAUGGAGGAAGCCCCGGCUAAAUACGUGCCAGCAGCCGCGGUAAUACGUAUGGGGCAAGCGUUAUCCGGAAUUAUUGGGCGUAAAGAGUGCGUAGGUGGUGGCUUAAGCGCAGGGUUUAAGGCAAUGGCUUAACUAUUGUUCGCCUUGCGAACUGGGUCACUUGAGUACAGGAGAGGAAAGCGGAAUUCCUAGUGUAGCGGUGAAAUGCAUAGAUAUUAGGAGGAACACCGGUGGCGAAGGCGGCUUUCUGGACUGCAACUGACACUGAGGCACGAAAGCGUGGGUAGCAAACAGGAUUAGAUACCCUGGUAGUCCACGCCGUAAACGAUGAGCACUAGGUGUCGGCCAAUAAAGGUCGGUGCCGCAGUUAACGCAUUAAGUGCUCCGCCUGGGGAGUACGCACGCAAGUGUAAAACUCAAAGGAAUUGACGGGGACCCGCACAAGCAGCGGAGCAUGUGGUUUAAUUCGAAGCAACGCGAAGAACCUUACCAGAGCUUGACAUCCCUCUGACAGAUCCUUAAUCGGAUUUUUCUUCGGACAGAGGAGACAGGUGGUGCAUGGUUGUCGUCAGCUCGUGUCGUGAGAUGUUGGGUUAAGUCCCGCAACGAGCGCAACCCUUAUCAUUAGUUGCCAUCAUUAAGUUGGGCACUCUAGUGAGACUGCCGGGGACAACUCGGAGGAAGGUGGGGAUGACGUCAAAUCAUCAUGCCCCUUAUGUUCUGGGCUACACACGUGCUACAAUGGUCGGUACAGAAAGCAGCGAAACCGUGAGGUGAAGCCAAUCUCCAAAACCGAUCUCAGUUCGGAUUGUAGGCUGCAACUCGCCUACAUGAAGUCGGAGUUGCUAGUAAUCGCAGAUCAGAAUGCUGCGGUGAAUGCGUUCCCGGGUCUUGUACACACCGCCCGUUGCAACUCGAGUGCAUGAAGUUGGAGUUGCUAGUAAUCGCAGAUCAGAAUGCUGCGGUGAAUGCGUUCCCGGGUCUUGUACACACCGCCCGUC
This 1406-nucleotide ribosomal RNA is filed under the name human gut metagenome. RNAcentral's name for it is "bacterial SSU rRNA". It matches the Rfam family "Bacterial small subunit ribosomal RNA". The record is from RNAcentral.